UUGAACGCUGGCGGCAUGCUUUACACAUGCAAGUCGAGCGGCAGCGCGGGGGCAACCCUGGCGGCGAGCGGCGAACGGGUGAGUAACAUAUCGGAACGUACCCUGUCGUGGGGGAUAACACAGCGAAAGCUGUGCUAAUACCGCAUACGACCUGAGGGUGAAAGCGGGGGACCUUCGGGCCUCGCGCGAUUGGAGCGGCUGAUGUCGGAUUAGCUGGUUGGUGGGGUAAAGGCCUACCAAGGCGACGAUCCGUAGCUGGUCUGAGAGGAUGAUCAGCCACACUGGGACUGAGACACGGCCCAGACUCCUACGGGAGGCAGCAGUGGGGAAUUUUGGACAAUGGGCGCAAGCCUGAUCCAGCCAUGCCGCGUGAGUGAAGAAGGCCUUCGGGUUGUAAAGCUCUUUCAGACGGAAAGAAAUCGGGCGGGUGAAUAGCCUGCCUGGAUGACGGUACUGUCAGAAGAAGCACCGGCUAACUACGU
This 482-nucleotide ribosomal RNA is filed under the name uncultured bacterium. RNAcentral's name for it is "bacterial SSU rRNA". It matches the Rfam family "Bacterial small subunit ribosomal RNA", at positions 29 to 506 of the family's 1533-position model. The record is from RNAcentral.